CCUACGGGAAGCAGCAGUGGGGGAUAUUGCACAAUGGGGGAAACCCUGAUGCAGCGACGCCGCGUGUGGGAAGACGGUCCUCUGGAUUGUAAACCACUUUCUCCAGGGACGACGAUGACGGUACCUGGGGAGGAAGCUCCGGCUAACUACGUGCCAGCAGACGCGGUCAUACGUAGGGGGCGAGCGUUUUCCGGAAUUACUGGGUGUAAAGGGAGCGUAGGCGGGGAUGCAAGUUUGCUGUCAAAACUACCGGCUCAACUGGUAGUCGAACUCAAAACUGCAGCUCUUGAGUGAAGUAGAGGCAGGCGGAAUUCCUAGUGUAGCGGUGAAAUGCGUAGAUAUUAGGAGGAACACCAGUGGCGAAGGCGGCCUGCUGGGCUUUUACUGACGCUGAGGCUCGAAAGUGUGGGGAGCAAACAGGAUUAGAUACCCUGGUAGUC
This 440-nucleotide ribosomal RNA is filed under the name uncultured bacterium. RNAcentral describes it as "partial 16S ribosomal RNA". It matches the Rfam family "Bacterial small subunit ribosomal RNA", at positions 338 to 795 of the family's 1533-position model. The record is from RNAcentral.